AGCACGGGCGUACAUGCAUAUAUAUAUGAACAGAACUGACAAGACUUUAAAAAAAUUACCAGAAGCAUCCUUCUUAUCAAUUUCAUAGAUAAGUAUCUCAAUGUGAAAAAAUCUCCAGUCUACCCACUCCUUCUAUCUUAAAUCUCUCUGCUGUACUGUUAUAUGGGUAUACUUACUUAUAUGAUUUUUUGUCUAAUUGUUUAAAUGUAAA
RNAcentral lists this long non-coding RNA (211 nucleotides) under Mytilus galloprovincialis (Mediterranean mussel). Lineage: Eukaryota; Metazoa; Mollusca; Bivalvia; Mytilida; Mytilidae. The record is from RNAcentral.